UACUCCUACGGGAGGCAGCAGUAGGGAAUCUUCCGCAAUGGACGAAAGUCUGACGGAGCAACGCCGCGUGAGUGAUGAAGGUUUUCGGAUCGUAAAGCUCUGUUGUUAGGGAAGAACAAGUGCAAGAGUAACUGCUUGCACCUUGACGGUACCUAACCAGAAAGCCACGGCUAACUACGUGCCAGCAGCCGCGGUAAUACGUAGGUGGCAAGCGUUGUCCGGAAUUAUUGGGCGUAAAGGGCUCGCAGGCGGUUUCUUAAGUCUGAUGUGAAAGCCCCCGGCUCAACCGGGGAGGGUCAUUGGAAACUGGGAAACUUGAGUGCAGAAGAGGAGAGUGGAAUUCCACGUGUAGCGGUGAAAUGCGUAGAGAUGUGGAGGAACACCAGUGGCGAAGGCGACUCUCUGGUCUGUAACUGACGCUGAGGAGCGAAAGCGUGGGGAGCGAACAGGAUAGAUACCUGGUAGUCCA
This 469-nucleotide ribosomal RNA is filed under the name Bacillus sp. (in: firmicutes). Its description in RNAcentral is "bacterial SSU rRNA". It matches the Rfam family "Bacterial small subunit ribosomal RNA", at positions 334 to 797 of the family's 1533-position model. The record is from RNAcentral. Lineage: Bacteria; Bacillati; Bacillota; Bacilli; Caryophanales; Bacillaceae.